GACGGAGGAUGCAAGCGUUAUCCGGAAUGAUUGGGCGUAAAGCGUCCGCAGGUGGCAGUUCAAGUCUGCUGUCAAAGACCGGGGCUUAACCCCAGAAAGGCAGUGGAAACUGAAAGGCUAGAGGAUGGUAGGGGCAGAGGGAAUUCCCAGUGUAGCGGUGAAAUGCGUAGAGAUUGGGAAGAACACCGGUGGCGAAAGCGAUCUGCUGGGCCAUAACUGACACUCAGGGACGAAAGCUAGGGGAGCGAAUGGG
This 253-nucleotide ribosomal RNA is filed under the name uncultured bacterium. RNAcentral describes it as "partial 16S ribosomal RNA". It matches the Rfam family "Bacterial small subunit ribosomal RNA", at positions 524 to 776 of the family's 1533-position model. The record is from RNAcentral.